RNAcentral lists this ribosomal RNA (321 nucleotides) under uncultured bacterium. RNAcentral's name for it is "bacterial SSU rRNA". It matches the Rfam family "Bacterial small subunit ribosomal RNA", at positions 355 to 673 of the family's 1533-position model. The record is from RNAcentral.
UGAGGAAUAUUGGUCAAUGGACGAAAGUCUGAACCAGCCAUGCCGCGUGAAGGAAUAAGGCCCUAUGGGUCGUAAACUUCUUUUGUAUGUGAGCAAUAAGGUCCACGCGUGGUCCGAUGAGAGUAGCAUACGAAUAAGCAUCGGCUAACUCCGUGCCAGCAGCCGCGGUAAUACGGAGGAUGCAAGCGUUAUCCGGAUUCAUUGGGUUUAAAGGGUGCGUAGGCGGCUUGGUAAGUCAGCGGUGAAAUUCCAGUGCUCAACAUUGGCCGUGCCGUUGAUACUGCUGGGCUUGAAUGCGGGUGCCGUGGGAGGAAUGUGUGG